Molecule: unclassified non-coding RNA, 531 nt
Filed under: Hevea brasiliensis (rubber tree)
Lineage: Eukaryota; Viridiplantae; Streptophyta; Magnoliopsida; Malpighiales; Euphorbiaceae
Source: RNAcentral
AGCUUCGGGAAAAAGCUGCUAUCAAGGAGGAGAAAAAGUCUGAAGAGUUGCAAGGAAAGGGUAAAGAGAGUGAAACUGUUGAUUCCCUUCUCAAGCUUUUAAGGAAACACUCAGUUCAGAAAGGGAAGAAAACCAGUAGCAGUAGAAGUAGCAACUUUGUCCUUGACCAGCCAGAUAAGAGCAAUGUAUUCUCUGAAGAGAGAGCUAGCAAUCUCACUGAACUAAAUAGCAAUGUGAACCAUGUGGCACAAGAAAGUGGCACCCCAUUUGUUAACCGACCUAAGUCAAACUUCCAGCGUAGAUCUCCAGUUCCGCGAAUCAAAUUUCAGCCUAUUUAUCACGAGGGAGGUACUGAUAACCCUGUUGCCUCUUCUGCUACAGAUAAGAUGGAAAAUGACAUACAUCUGGACCUUGAACUUGGGCAAAUUCCCAGAAGUAAGGUUGAUUCUGACACUGAGACUAUUUUCUCAGAUAAGCAUGUGUUCGAUGAGAUGGCUGAUGAUGAUACUUCCAAAAUGUAUGGAAGUGUUG